GGCAAACACUCGCCAGCCCCGGCUCCCCGUCCGCAUCUACACACGCCGCUGCUUCUGCUUCCAUCGCUCCCUCCGCUCCAGCUCUCCAACACCCACGACCAGGUUGCUCAGAGCACAGCAGCGCCUCCUCCAAAACCGGAGACAUUGAAACAUGUCUAGCCAAAAAAGUGGGGGGUGGGGGGCUAUGCCCCCCGGUUCCGCGGCCCAUGCUAUACCUCAUGUGUGGCCUCAUUCUGGCAAUGGAGAAGGCUCUGGACAGAAAGAAAUCCAGGCACUUGGGUUCAGCGGUUGUAUGAACGGGCUCUUUGGCUAUUUCGAAAUAUCACAUGAACGUCCUGCUUCGCUUGAAGUCACAA
Molecule: long non-coding RNA, 356 nt
Organism: Leucoraja erinaceus (little skate)
Lineage: Eukaryota; Metazoa; Chordata; Chondrichthyes; Rajiformes; Rajidae
Exons: 2
Source: RefSeq, a predicted model, not a curated record